Molecule: long non-coding RNA, 510 nt
Filed under: Elaeis guineensis (African oil palm)
Lineage: Eukaryota; Viridiplantae; Streptophyta; Magnoliopsida; Arecales; Arecaceae
Description: long non-coding RNA (EGUI_LNC037870)
Source: RNAcentral
AUGUUAUAUUGCAUAUAAAAUCUAAAAAAUACUAAGGAUAAAAUCAGCAUGCAUGCAUAGAGCAGUAGAUCACAUCUACUUCUAAUCUGAGUUCAGAACUCGAUACCAUUAUAUGGAUCGACAAUCAUCGAUGCUGAGAGACAUGGUGGAGAGGAUCCUUGCUAGUUGCUUUCAGCCGCACAUGCAUUCGACCUCUAUAGAAAAUCUACUCGAAGCUCCGAUCUGAUCGAUCUUCUCGAGAGUGCUAGCUCGUGCAAAGACCUUCUUCUUAUCCGAUCUGGAUUAUUUCUUCAAAUCUCUAGAAUCUUUUCAAAGGUUAAAGAUGGACUUCUGAAAGAGAUGAAGAUGUAAAAGAAAGAUAAAGAAAAAAUAAUUUUUUCUAAUUUAUUCUCUCUUUCCAAACUUUUAGAAUCAAAAACUUGAAAUUCAGAUUUUUGUGCACACCCCAAGAGAGAGGAUCCUUCUCUCUAUUUUUCACAUCAUGAACUAUGCCCAAACUUUCUUCACAUG